CAGUCGCCGCGGGAAUACGUAGGUGGCAAGCGUUAUCCGGAAUUAUUGGGCGUAAAGCGCGCGUAGGCGGUUUUUUAAGUCUGAUGUGAAAGCCCACGGCUCAACCGUGGAGGGUCAUUGGAAACUGGAAAACUUGAGUGCAGAAGAGGAAAGUGGAAUUCCAUGUGUAGCGGUGAAAUGCGCAGAGAUAUGGAGGAACACCAGUGGCGAAGGCGACUUUCUGGUCUGUAACUGACGCUGAUGUGCGAAAGUGUGGGGAUCAAACAGGAUUAGAUACCCCCGUAGUCCCUGUCUCUUAUAC
RNAcentral lists this ribosomal RNA (301 nucleotides) under uncultured bacterium. RNAcentral describes it as "partial 16S ribosomal RNA". It matches the Rfam family "Bacterial small subunit ribosomal RNA", at positions 509 to 807 of the family's 1533-position model. The record is from RNAcentral.